Molecule: ribosomal RNA, 253 nt
Filed under: uncultured bacterium
Lineage: Bacteria
Description: partial 16S ribosomal RNA
Rfam family: Bacterial small subunit ribosomal RNA
Source: RNAcentral
GACAGAGGGUGCAAACGUUGUUCGGAAUUACUGGGCGUAAAGCGCGUGUAGGCGGUUAGGCAAGUCGGAUGUGAAAUCCCGUGGCUCAACUACGGAAGUGCACCCGAAACUGCUUAACUUGAGUCCCGGAGAGGAAGGCGGAAUGCUUGGUGUAGAGGUGAAAUUCGUAGAUAUCAAGCGGAACACCGGUGGCGAAGGCGGCCUUCUGGACGAGGACUGACGCUGAGACGCGAAAGCGUGGGGAGCGAACAGG